This 462-nucleotide ribosomal RNA is filed under the name uncultured bacterium. RNAcentral's name for it is "partial 16S ribosomal RNA". It matches the Rfam family "Bacterial small subunit ribosomal RNA", at positions 28 to 507 of the family's 1533-position model. The record is from RNAcentral.
GACGAACGCUGGCGGCGUGCUUAACACAUGCAAGUCGAGCGGAAAGGCCCUUCGGUGUACUCGAGCGGCGAACGGGUGAGUAAGACGUGAGUAAGCGGCCCCCGACUUUGGGAUAACCCUCGGAAACGGGGGCUAAGACCGGAAACGACACAGCUAUGCUGGGGCGCAUUGUGGAAAGGUUUUACGUGUGGGUUGGGUUCGCGGCCGAUGAGCUUGUUCGUGGGUUGAUGGGAUACCACGUCGACGACGGGUAGGCCGCCUGAGAGGGGGACCGGCCACACUGGUCCUGCGACACGGCGCAGUCUCCUACGGUAGGCAGCAGUGGGGAAUAUUGCGCAAUGGGCGCACGCCUGAUGCGGCGAUGCCGCGUGAGGGAUGACGGCCUUCGGGUUGUAAACCUCUUUCAACGGGGACGAAGCGUAAGUGACGGUACCUGCAGAAGAAGCGCCGGCCAACUACGUG